This 76-nucleotide transfer RNA is filed under the name Candidatus Uhrbacteria bacterium CG_4_10_14_0_2_um_filter_41_21. RNAcentral's name for it is "tRNA-Thr". It matches the Rfam family "tRNA". Rfam says of the family: Transfer RNA (tRNA) molecules are approximately 80 nucleotides in length. Their secondary structure includes four short double-helical elements and three loops (D, anti-codon, and T loops). Further hydrogen bonds mediate the characteristic L-shaped molecular structure. tRNAs have two regions of fundamental functional importance: the anti-codon, which is responsible for specific mRNA codon recognition, and the 3' end, to which the tRNAs corresponding amino acid is attached (by aminoacyl-tRNA synthetases). tRNAs cope with the degeneracy of the genetic code in two manners: having more than one tRNA (with a specific anti-codon) for a particular amino acid; and 'wobble' base-pairing, i.e. permitting non-standard base-pairing at the 3rd anti-codon position. Lineage: Bacteria; Candidatus Uhriibacteriota. The record is from RNAcentral. RNAcentral also lists the same sequence under 4 other names.
GCCGAUGUAGCUCAGUUGGUAGAGCAGUCCCUUCGUAAGGGAAAGGUCGCCAGUUCAAGUCUGGCCAUCGGCUCCA